GAUGAACGCUGGCGGCGUGCCUAAUACAUGCAAGUCGAGCGAACGGACGAGAAGCUUGCUUCUCUGAUGUUAGCGGCGGACGGGUGAGUAACACGUGGAUAACCUACCUAUAAGACUGGGAUAACUUCGGGAAACCGGAGCUAAUACCGGAUAAUAUUUUGAACCGCAUGGUUCAAAAGUGAAAGACGGUCUUGCUGUCACUUAUAGAUGGAUCCGCGCUGCAUUAGCUAGUUGGUAAGGUAACGGCUUACCAAGGCAACGAUGCAUAGCCGACCUGAGAGGGUGAUCGGCCACACUGGAACUGAGACACGGUCCAGACUCCUACGGGAGGCAGCAGUAGAGAAUCUUCCACAAUGGGCGAAAGCCUGACGGAGCAACGCCGCGUGAGUGAUGAAGGUCUUCGGAUCGUAAAACUCUGUUAUUAGGGAAGAACAUAUGUGUAAGUAACUGUGCACAUCUUGACGGUACCUAAUCAGAAAGCCACGGCUAACUACGUG
Molecule: ribosomal RNA, 497 nt
Filed under: uncultured bacterium
Lineage: Bacteria
Description: partial 16S ribosomal RNA
Rfam family: Bacterial small subunit ribosomal RNA
Source: RNAcentral